GACGUGGCCUCCUGCUGUCCCCAACACAGGAGGGUUUUUCUCAGGAGAAAGCAGUGAGCACGAAGACCCGUCAGUCCUAGUAGGAUGCCCUUCAGAAUCUAUCCCUGCAAAUUCUGCAUGUGGAUCAUAGGAAGUUAAGCCCACAGUCAUUCCCAGCAUAUGACCCAGAAGCAGCAUCCUCAGCAAGAUCUUGAGGAUGGUUGCCUUAUAACAAGGACAUAGAGAUGAGGCUGCAGGUGCCCAUGGAAAACUACAAGUGAUAUGAAGCUCAGCAUCUCGACCUGCAUGUUAUAACCAUCUCUUUUAUUACUUUAAAACUUUGGGUCAGAUCUGUGCUUAGCUCUGCACAUAGACAUGUUAAUCACUUAAGAAACAUUUGUCUAAAAACUAGUAAUAAAAGUUUGUAAGCCCUACAUUUACCUAACCUAUCUCAUCUUCCUUCAAAAUCAAGGACAGGGGCAGGGAUUUAGCUCAGCGGUUCCGCUGCCUGCCUCGCAAGUGCAAGGUCCCAACUUCGAUCCCUGGUACCAAAACCAAGGACACCAAGAUAAGAGUAACUAAGGCAUUUUCAGGAUUUUCAGGGACUCCGCUUGCUAGUUUUGACAAUGUCCUGUUCCAG
This 619-nucleotide long non-coding RNA is filed under the name Heterocephalus glaber (naked mole-rat). RNAcentral's name for it is "lncRNA (ENSHGLG00100039758.1)". The record is from RNAcentral. Lineage: Eukaryota; Metazoa; Chordata; Mammalia; Rodentia; Bathyergidae.